GGCCUAACACAUGCAAGUCGAGCGGUAGAGAGAAGCUUGCUUCUCUUGAGAGCGGCGGACGGGUGAGUAAUGCCUAGGAAUCUGCCUGGUAGUGGGGGAUAACGUUCGGAAACGGACGCUAAUACCGCAUACGUCCUACGGGAGAAAGCAGGGGACCUUCGGGCCUUGCGCUAUCAGAUGAGCCUAGGUCGGAUUAGCUAGUUGGUGAGGUAAUGGCUCACCAAGGCGACGAUCCGUAACUGGUCUGAGAGGAUGAUCAGUCACACUGGAACUGAGACACGGUCCAGACUCCUACGGGAGGCAGCAGUGGGGAAUAUUGGACAAUGGGCGAAAGCCUGAUCCAGCCAUGCCGCGUGUGUGAAGAAGGUCUUCGGAUUGUAAAGCACUUUAAGUUGGGAGGAAGGGUACUUACCUAAUACGUGAGUAUUUUGACGUUACCGACAGAAUAAGCACCGGCUAACUCUGUGCCAGCAGCC
RNAcentral lists this ribosomal RNA (476 nucleotides) under Pseudomonas chlororaphis subsp. chlororaphis. Its description in RNAcentral is "bacterial SSU rRNA". It matches the Rfam family "Bacterial small subunit ribosomal RNA", at positions 45 to 516 of the family's 1533-position model. The record is from RNAcentral. Lineage: Bacteria; Pseudomonadati; Pseudomonadota; Gammaproteobacteria; Pseudomonadales; Pseudomonadaceae.